CUUGUUUGAAUGAUUGCGGUUGAGGAACAUCUCUCUUCUCCAAACUCUUUCUUUCUGUUUCUGCCAAACUGCAAUAAUUCCAAAGAUUAAAAUCAAAUGCUUGGACAGUUUGAGCUGAAUUAAAAGAACAUUUUGAGAUUGUUACGGCAACCAAAAUGUCUUAAAGCAUGCACAGAAAUUAAAAGGGAUGACACGAACAUACUUAUGAUUAAAAGGAGUAAGAUAUGGUAGAUCGAAAGGAAAAGGAACUAUCUAGCAUAAACAAAAAAACACAAGCAGAUUUUCAACUUGAUGCAUAUAAUGUCACAUAGGUAAAGAGAAUGGAACAUACAUAGGGGGGGAGGCAUGACCAUAUCUUUUUGUGUAGCCGAAGUUCCAACCAUAGCAGCAUGCCCAGCUACAACUCGAACACUUACAGCUUGGCCUCGUAUGGCAGCAGGUUGGCCAUUUAUAGCAGAACGCCCAGCUACAACUAGAACAGUAGCACAAAGAUCGUGGACGCUUCUUUCUGCAAUGCACAAAGGUUCAUCUGAUGUUUCGACUGUCUGUGGAUUCUCGACAUUGACACUAUUUACGGCUGUGUCUAUCUCCUCUAUUAUAAUCGAUGGGGUUCUGCUAAACAAAUUUGUCUCACCGCAUUUGGUCAAUUCCGGUGACAUGCAUACUUCGCCAAACAUGUGUUCUCUGGAGAAGCUAUUUUCCCCUACAUGAAGGCUAAAUAACGACUCAUUAGAAGCAAGACUCCAUUCCAAUGGAUUAGUAUUUAUAUCGAAGACCUCAGAUGGAAUCCUUGCAGGAUCAUACCCUCCAGAUCGAUCCAUCAUUUGAAUGGGAGGGCUUACAGUUGGUGGCAUUCCGUUUUGGUUGUAAGUGACAUUGUAAACCUGAAAUGUUGAGGUGGAAACUGGAGGUCUGUUAUCAACUUCCGAUUUGGAAGAGCUCUCGCUAUUAGAAACAUAACUUUUUUCAGAUUUUGAUGUUGAUGCACCGGAUGUGGUGAACUUCAAUGUAUCCAUUCCAUAAAAACCAUCCGAUGAUGAUUCUGAUGAAGAGGAAGAACUUGAUCGUCUGGUUGAGGCAGAUAUGCUUUUAGUACCAUCAAGAUGUGUGUCAAGGUAAUUAUUAUGACCAAUUUCAUCUCUAUCCUUGAUAUUUACUUGCCCUUCUGAAUCAAUACAACCUCCACUUCCGUUUGUUACCUCAGAGUUUGAAUCAGAACUUUCA
Molecule: long non-coding RNA, 1224 nt
Filed under: Lupinus mutabilis
Lineage: Eukaryota; Viridiplantae; Streptophyta; Magnoliopsida; Fabales; Fabaceae
Description: partial ncRNA
Source: RNAcentral